The sequence is a ribosomal RNA, 105 nucleotides long. It matches the Rfam family "Bacterial large subunit ribosomal RNA", at positions 2820 to 2925 of the family's 2925-position model. The record is from Rfam.
CUUCGGAAGUAAGGUCCCUUGAAGAUAACGAGGUAGAUAGGUUGGAGGUGUAAGCAUGGUAACAUGUUCAGCUGACCAAUACUAAUAGACCGAGGGCUUGACCAA